AACGCACGAGACCUGCGGACCUGCGGAAGGAUCAUUACUGAAUUGAUUUUGGGGAUGUUGCUGGUCUCUUGAGGCAAUGGUGCACUCCCUCAAACAUUUCACAAUUUCCAUCUUACCCAUGUGCACAUCCUGUAGGUGGUCUCCCAACCCACCCUCCAAGGAAAGGGGGGGAGUGUGUGGGUCUGGUCUCCUAUGUAUUUCCUUGCCAACAUCACACGUUUUGACCGAAUGAAUCCUGUG
This 240-nucleotide unclassified non-coding RNA is filed under the name soil metagenome. Its description in RNAcentral is "partial contains 5.8S ribosomal RNA, internal transcribed spacer 2, and large subunit ribosomal RNA". The record is from RNAcentral.